ACGGCUCAGUAACACGUAGGUAACCUACCCUUCGGACGGGCACAACCCCGGGAAACUGGGGCUAAUUCCCGAUAGGUACCCCCUUCUGGAAUGUGGGGAUAUCCAAAGCUCCGGCGCCGAAGGAUGGGCCUGCGGCCGAUUAGGUUGUUGGCGGGGUAACAGCCCACCAAGCCGACGAUCGGUACGGGCAGUGAGAGCUGUAGCCCGGAGAUGGGGACUGAGACAAGGCCCCAGGCCCUACGGGGCGCAGCAGGCGCGAAACCUUCACAAUGCACGAAAGUGUGAUGAGGGUACUCCGAGUGCGCAUACAUUGUAUGUGCUUUUCUGCAGCGUAAAUAGUUGCAGGAAUAAGGGCUGGGCAAGACCGGUGCCAGCCGCCGCGGUAACACCGGCAGCCCUAGUGGUGGCCGCUUUUAUUGGGCCUAAAGCGUCCGUAGCCGGACAGGCGAGUCUUUGGGUAAAUCCUACGUCUUAAGCGUGGGAAUUCUAAAGAUACUACCUGUCUUGAGGCCGGGAGAGGCUGGAGGUACUCCUGGGGUAGGGGUAAAAUCCUAUAAUCCUGGGGGGACCACCGAUGGCGAAGGCAUCCAGCUGGAACGGGCCUGACGGUGAGGGACGAAACCCAGGGGAGCGAGCCGGAUUAGAUACCCGGGUAGUCCUGGGCGUAAAUGAUGUGGGCUUGGUGUGAGCGCAUCGACGAGGUGCGCUUGUGCCGUAGGAAGCCGUUAAGCCCACCGCCUGGGAGUACGGUCGCAAGGCUGAAACUUAAAGGAAUUGGCGGGGGAGCAC
This 789-nucleotide ribosomal RNA is filed under the name uncultured Methanothermobacter sp. RNAcentral's name for it is "bacterial SSU rRNA". It matches the Rfam family "Archaeal small subunit ribosomal RNA", at positions 85 to 879 of the family's 1478-position model. The record is from RNAcentral. Lineage: Archaea; Methanobacteriati; Methanobacteriota; Methanobacteria; Methanobacteriales; Methanobacteriaceae.